Long non-coding RNA from Cebus imitator (Panamanian white-faced capuchin), 5840 nucleotides. RefSeq lists it as uncharacterized. The record is from RefSeq and is a predicted model, not a curated record. The transcript is spliced from 3 exons. Lineage: Eukaryota; Metazoa; Chordata; Mammalia; Primates; Cebidae.
CAGGAUGAUCACUUGAGCCCAGGAGUUCAAGGCCAACCUGAGCAACACAGUAAGACUCUAAGUAUAAAUAGUAAUAUGUGUGUGUACACACACACACACACACACACACACACACACACUCUGUAAAUUACAUAAGGAAAAAGAUUGUAAGUAAAACCAUUACUUAUAGUAAUUGUCUUUAUGUGAAAAAAUUUUGGAUAUUUCUUUUUCACUUCUCCAGAUUUCUUUGUAAUAAUUUGUAUUUGUUUAUAAUACCAAUAACUAAUUUAUUUUGAAAGUAAUGCUCCAGAUUUAAAUAAGAAUCAGUCCUUGAAAUUUUUCUAAAGUUGUCUUAUUUAAACUGGCAUCUACUGGAUUUUUAAAAGGUAAACUACAGUUUUAACAUGCUAUUUCUUUAAGGUUGGAUAUAACUAAAAAUAUAAUUAGUAUUAUCAAACACAGAUCUCAAAUAAUACACUAUACUUGUGCUCCUUUUUUGAACAUGAAUCUGACCUAUCACUUAGCUGAUAAUGUUUCUCUGAUCUUUGUUUUAAGCCACUUCAAAAUGGAGCCCCAAGUAUGUUGAAGUGGGAGUUGGAGGGGUAUCACUCUUUAGUAGUACUCUUAAGUCACUAAAGAGUAAACUUUAUCUUGCGGAGUCAUAACGUAUGAUAACAUAUCUUUACUUUCUGAUAUUAGUGUUUGUGGAACCUGAAGAAUUACUUGUUCUCUAAUGAGACUUUUUCAGAUUUGACAUAGAAAAGCAGGAAGAAAUUGGUUAGAUUAAAUGAUAGCUACAUUUAUUCAAAGAUUGUACCUUAAAUGGCUUUGAAAGGAUACUACUAUGUAAAGAAUUUUUUUCUUCUAUCAUCAGUCUGAAAAAAUAUUCACUGUAUAUGAAAAAAUAUCCACUUUAUAACAUAUUAUUUGCAACAUUAAUGCAGAUACAAACAACCCUCUGUUGAGAGAAUUCCGAGAGUGUCUUACCACCGUUCUCCAGAGCAUGUUAUUUUGCACCUCUUCUGUGAAGGCCGGCGAAAUAGCUUCUUGUAAGGUCAUAGUGACUCCCAUCACAAACUCCAGCUGAACUAACUUGGAAGAGUAUCCUCCCUGACAGCUCUGGUAGGUUCUUUAUGCAACUGCUGUUUCGCCCAUUCUCUGUAAGUUCUUCUUAGAUAACACCCCAAGUGGGCUAAAUUUCUGACUGGUAAAAUCUGCUACACAGGCGUUAUUAAUUUUACUCAGCUCUUGUAAAGCGUUUACAUUAGAAGGAUAUAAAUGCUAAAACCCAGAGCCAUACUACAUUAAAAUAAUAGCAAUAAUAAUAACAAAACCUACAUACCACUUGUACAUCUGAAGGGACUCUGGAAAGGAAGUCAAGUAGUUCAUUGUUAUCAAUUGCAUAUGGACUCCGAAGCUUUUUUGUAAAUUUAUUGAUUCCUGAAAAAGUGAUAGAUUAAACAUUAUUUAAAUAACCAAAAUUGGAGAUAAACAGAGCACGUUUCUGGCAAAAGUGUUAUAGCAAUUGGAAGAUCUAACUUGUAUGCCUUGAACCAGUGAACCAAUGCACCCAAUUUUUUCCCUCUCUUCCUCUUUUUCUCCUUCAUUUCUUCCUCCUUCCUCAGUUGCUGCUCUGUCACUUUGUACUGUAGUAGCUUCUUCCAAGCAGGAAAGGGUUUCUAUGUGGGAAAUAAAGGAGGUUCCCUGGCAGUAAUUAGCAAUCUCUUGCAUUUUUCCCCUCUGUGUUACAGUAUACUUAGAAGCCCUACUUUAGUAUUUCAUUUCUGAUGAAACUUGCUUUCCUACUUUUUGGGUUAAGAUUUUUAAGGCAAGAUGUCUAACUUAUUGGUUUCCCCUUUUCCAAAAAAUGCAUCUUUUUGGAGGUGGGAGUGUGUGUUGCUGUUAUGCCCGAUCAAUGUUUAGAAGACACGUGAUCUUUAUUUUUUUUUUCAAACCGGAAAUGAAAAUAUUUACUCCCAGCUUUGUAAAAAAAAAAAUAAACACCUUUACAUGAAAUCAACAAACUGGUAAAGACUGAGCCAUAAACUAGAGCAUUUUGGCUCUUCUUCAGGGAGUUCAUGCAGAAUAAGCUUCUAGAAUCUGUCUCCUCAUGUAAGACCUAUAGUCUUAAAUUUCUGGCUAAUAUUUCAGCAAUCACCUACCACCAAAGGAAUACUUUUUUUGUUUUAUUUUGUUUGAUGAAACAAGAGGCCCAAACACAUUCUGCAAAGUUACUUUUAAGGCAGCUACUCAGUGAGGCCACUGCAAGUUACAUAGCUAGAUGUCUGCCGUGGGCUCCAGUUUCUGCAAACCUGGGAGAACAGGGCAUUUGCCACCACCUAUUGCAACAGAGAUGACUCCAGAAGCCAAGGCAGGUCUGACCCUAGGUAGACUAAUUUUUUCAAUAAAGAAGCAUCUGCCUUAACUAUCAGGAAGAAAUGAAAGAUGAACAUACAAUAGGAAGUAAGAACAUAGUGGAAAUUAAAUUAUUCUUCCCUUAUAUAAUGAAAGUGCUGUCUAAAUUGAAUUUCUUUGAAUUACAGAAAUUAGGAAAGGAAAAAAUAAUUCCCAUUUCCCCCACCUCUCACCCAGGCUGUAAAGGUAAUGCUAGUGAUACAGGGUAAGAGGGCCUGCUCAAUAUGUGAUAAGUUGGACCAAAAAGAAUAGGGAAAUAGGAAUCUUAAAAGCAGAGGGCUUGGGGUAUCAGACUUGAACUCACUUUAUUCCAAUAUAUUUCUUCAAAAGCGUUAAAGAGAAAAAAAAUUUUGCUUUCAGUGUAAGCACAUGCUUUCCAAAGCUAAGACCCAUUUUGGUCCUUUGUGUUUUGUAUAGGUUUAGCAAUCUUAGGUGUAUGUGUAGGCAGGUGAGGGGCAGGUAGAGAAUUCUUCUUCUCCCCAGUCUUGUUUAUGUAUUAUUAAUGUUGUAGUAGAUCCUAGAGAUGGAAAGUUGUUUUCCAAACCAAGAAUUUUGUCAGGAAAGAAAUUGAAGAAUGCUGCAACUGACAAUCUCCUAAAUGGAGCCCAGGUACGUAGGAAUCAUUGGCAUGCAGCAUACUCACAUUAAAAAUUAGGACCGAAAAAAAUCACCUUUAAUGUAGGUAUUUAUAGAAACAGUCUUAUUUAGUUCACAUAAAGGGGUCUUACUAAGGAACCUGCAAGUGCCAAGGACCCUUUUCCCAAAUGCUAAAGGUGACCUCUUAAACAGGCAGCCAUGUAUAGUACCAUGUUUACAUAUACUUCCACAAGAUAAAAUACAACAGCAAAGAAAGCAUAUUUUCUUAAAUGCACCAUAUGGAUUGAAAUGCCUCUGUUUGUAUAUAAGUGGUGAAAAUAAAUCAGAGGGAUAUCUAGACAAAGCUACACUUUGAUAUAUGAAGAAUCUUUACAACUCACAUGUUUAUUGUAUGAUGAAACCUAGUGUGCCAGAUAAGAAAAAUACAUUUUGCAGGUAGACCUAAAUCUUUAUACUGUUGUGAUUUUUAACUGACCUGUCUCUUUUCAUCAUGGAGUAGCUUCAUGACCAUAAAUACAGAGAACUGCUGACAGUGUAACUCAUCUCUUAAACACAGUUUGUUCGUAGCAGCUAAGACAGUUUGGGGGAGCCUGGGAAGGUUUACUUACCCCAGACAAGGACAAUGUAUCUCAGCGGAAUGCAGUACAGGAUGACUGUGAACACACAGAGGGCUACAAUGGCCAGCCAGCUUAAGAAUGGGACAGUCCAGUUGAAAGUACUGAAUGAAAAAUUAACACAUCAGCAAUCUGAGUACUUCAUACUUUUUUCAAAUAUCAAAAUACAUAUGAUUCUGACUUAACUUGGGACCUAGUUAGUCGGCAUUUCUCUCUGGAAUAGAGUCCAAUUGUAAUAGGUUAUCAGAAGACACAGCCUAGUUUGUCAUAAUCUGCUCAGUUGCAUGAACACAGGGCCCAGGUAAAGAGUCUUGCUGCCAGUUUCUCCAGAUUGUCCCAGGUGACUUCAGCAUCUAAAGCUCUUGCACUACUUGGGUGACUUCCCACAUGGAAAAAGAUCUUUAUUUUUCUACUACUAAGACAAGUAACCAUCCCUGUUUUCUCCAACUUUUCAGAGGGGAAUGCCCCUGGGCCUACCAUUCUUUCUUCUGUCAACUCUCAGUAUUCCCCACAUUGGGAAUAAAAUGUUGCCAGCAUGGUUAUGUAAAAAAUCCUCUGAAUGUUAGAAUUCCUUAGAGGAAUACUCACUUCCUACCUCAGCUAUGUUUCAAAUAGAACUGGAAAUCAGGAAAGAACAGAACAGUUAGCCUUGCAAAACUUGACCUCUCAUCAUUGACCUUCUUCCCAGAAAUACAUAGGUAAUUACGAAAUAAAAUCAGCAUUGCUUACUAUUAUCUCUCAUGUACUUCUUGUGAAGGAGAGCAUUCUGGCAAAAGUAAUUGGUAAUGGAGAGGGCUGAGUCAGAGAAGGCUGCAAGACUCAGUAUUGACAAUAAGACAGAAUAGCAAACAGAAACAAGACCAAUGAACAGAAUAAGUUACAAAAAAAAAAGUACUGAGGAGAUGGGAAGGAAUUUACUGAGACAAAAAGGGAAAAGAAAAAUGAAGACAAAGGCAAAAAACAUGGAGUAGAAAAUCAGGAAAAUGGAACAUGGGACGAUUGUAAUCAUUUAAGCCUUUUUGUGUGGAAGCCAGUCUGGUACUUAAGAGUAUGCCAAAAUUAUAAAGAAAAUAGAAACACUAUAUAGAGCCUCCAGGGUUGGGCAUAUAAAUAUAUCACCAUUUACAAGCAUACCAUCGCAUUCUUUCAAAUUUCUCCUAAGAGUUCAUUCACUAAAGAGGAACUAACAUAUCAUGUCAUGUGACCAAGAAGUUAGCAGAUCUGUAUUCAAAGCCUAGAUUCUGUUAUGUGGAUUUAGCUGAGUCAACCUCUCUAACCCUUUCUCCAUUUGUAAAAUGGGAUAGCUUUUAUUCUGUCAAGAAUAAAAAAGUCGUUGUGAUGGUAACAUGUUUAUGUGAAUCAAGUUGAAAUUAUUAGAACUAAUCAACUCAAGGAAUUUCAAUUAUGGUACUUUUUUCUUAUGAGACAGUGAGAAGGGCCCCUAAGACACUUCAGAAAAACGUAUUGUUCAGAUAGAAAAAUGUUACUGUCUUAUUUCUUCUAAUUUCCUGGUACUGUAUGUUGUACUUACUUGAGGUGAGUUUUUUCAGGGCAAUUUUUUCCCAAUAAAGGAUGAUUGCUAAGAGAUUUUCUUCUAUACAGUGCCUCAGCAUAAUUAGUAAUUAGUUGUUCCGUAGCUUUGUGGCACGUAGCUUGCUUUUUGUCUCUCUCUAGGUCAAAAUUAUUGCCUAAAAUUGUUUUUUCUACCAAAUGAGCCAAUGUUGGGUCAAUCUGGGUAUUCUAUUUUCAGUAACCCUUCGGGUCUGGCUUUUCUGCCUUUGUCUUUUUCCUCUUAUGGUCAACUGUGAGCAUCUGUAACUGUCACCAGGUAAAGGAUCAUGCCUUCCCUUCCUGAUGGACACCUUUGCUUCUGCUUGCUUGUGGAGAGAACAGAAGGCUGAGGGAAGGAAAUUGACAGAACUUUCAUAAAGCCAAAGACUGGCAGAAAUAAAGUAAAUAAUGAUAAAACUGAGCAAUAGAUCACCCAGAAGGAGUGUCCCCUGCCAAAAGGAAUGUGGCAUUUCACCCUGUGAGAAACAAAUAGACACCCUGUCCUACGGAAGACUGGGGCUUACAUGUCACCGUCACUCACUUCUUUAUCCUUUCGCCAAAGGAAGCCACUUCAUCUAGGAUGUUCUGGACACUGACACAUACCUCCUGGAUGGCGUAGAUUUUAUUUAUAAAUCCCUUUUUUUCACUGUCCUAAAAUGCAAUAAAAAAAAAAAUUCUGUAUGA